CAGGGAGGGAGGGAGUGGGGGCUGGAAACCGCGGAAGGCGCUUAUCUGCAUCGGACAGGUUCAGCCCUGCAGCCUCCCAGGGCUGAGUCAGCCCGUCCCGCCCCUUCCCCACCCAGCCUCCCGCGGGAAUUUCUCCAGCCAGGCUGUGCUGGGGGAGGGGAGGCAGGGAGCCUGGGUUCUGGUCCUGACUCGGCUCGCUGAGCACUCCGGAGGGAGCAACAGAUCAGUCAAGAUUCUCAGCUCUUUCAGGAGAGCGAGGAGGAGAAGUAACAUUUUUGCAAUAUUGCUAUUCUCAAAUUCUUGCUGUCUCUUUGUACAAAACAGUAUGCAAUAGAAGGUGGAUGACAACAACAAAAUGACAAACAGGACCAGAACCAAUGGAAUGGCUAAAUAAAGUGAUGGAAGUUUAGAUCCUUGUAUUCUUUUUUUUUUUUUGGUGUGAGGAUGGAAUUUAGGAUCGUGUGCUUGCGAGGUAGGCAGCGGAACCACUGAGCUAAAUUUCCA
This 504-nucleotide long non-coding RNA is filed under the name Fukomys damarensis (Damara mole-rat). RNAcentral's name for it is "lncRNA (ENSFDAG00000030543.1)". The record is from RNAcentral. Lineage: Eukaryota; Metazoa; Chordata; Mammalia; Rodentia; Bathyergidae.